Molecule: unclassified non-coding RNA, 394 nt
Filed under: soil metagenome
Description: partial contains 5.8S ribosomal RNA, internal transcribed spacer 2, and large subunit ribosomal RNA
Rfam family: 5.8S ribosomal RNA (bases 1-120)
Source: RNAcentral
GAUGAAGAACGCAGCGAAAUGCGAUAAGUAAUGUGAAUUGCAGAAUUCAGUGAAUCAUCGAAUCUUUGAACGCACCUUGCGCCUUUUGGUAUUCCGAAAGGCACACCUGUUUGAGCGUCAUGAAUACCUCAAUCUCCAUCUUUUCUUCGGAUUGAUGGGUGACUUGGAUGUUGAGCCCUGCUGGUAUGCUAUAUCAGCUGGCUUUAAACUUAUUAGCCGGCUCUGUACUGGAUCGGUUUGACUCGACGUGAUAAUAUUAUCGUUGAGGAUGCAUGUCUCAUGCAGCCGGAAAGUAUCAAAGCAGCUUCUAGCUUGCCUUAGUGCACUUUUACAUUUUAGACCUCAGAUCAGGUGGGACUACCCGCUGAACUUAAGCAUAUCAAUAAGCGGAGGA